UCAUAAUGUAACCUCAUUAGCAUAGCAGGUAUUUAUAAGGGAGUGUUCAUAAUGUAACCUCAUUAGCAUAGCAGGUAUUUAUAAGGGAGUGUUCAUAAUGUAACCUCAUUAGCAUAGCAGGUAUUUAUAAGGGAGUGUUCAUAAUGUAACCUCAUUAGCAUAGCAGGUAUUUAUUUGGUAGCAUUUAUAGUGUU
Molecule: non-coding RNA, 194 nt
Organism: Salmo salar (Atlantic salmon)
Lineage: Eukaryota; Metazoa; Chordata; Actinopteri; Salmoniformes; Salmonidae
Source: RefSeq, a predicted model, not a curated record